This is a long non-coding RNA of Zonotrichia albicollis (white-throated sparrow), 1992 nucleotides long. RefSeq lists it as uncharacterized. Lineage: Eukaryota; Metazoa; Chordata; Aves; Passeriformes; Passerellidae. The record is from RefSeq and is a predicted model, not a curated record.
GUUUAGAUUAGAUAUUAUGGAGAAAAUUCCUUCACUGUGAGGCUGGUGAGGCACUGGCACAGAUUGCCAAGUCAAGCUGUGGAUAAUCCAUCUUGAGAUGCUUAAAGCCAGGCUGAAUAGAGCUCUGAGCAACCUGUUCUAGAGAAAGGUGUCCCUGUCCUUGGCAGGGCGUUUGGAACCGAGGGAUCUUUAAGGUCCCUUCCAGCCCAGGUCUGUCUAUGGCUCUGUGCUCCCCACAGGUCUGAGCAGUAUGGUUUCAUUCCCUUUCCCCCUGAUGUUGGGCAAGAAUGAAUGAAGAUUACUUAAUUACUUGGAAAUCAGAUAACUGCAGGGGACCACAGAGCUGUGCCUGACCCCAAAGCAUACUUGCUUGGCUGAUCCACCCCAGAAGAACCCAAACAGGGCAGACAAAUGAGGGAUUGAUGGUACAGCAUGAGUCAAAGGUCCCUCAGGCUGACCCAGUGGCAGCUUUACCUCUGAGCACACAGCAAGUGGCAGCAGUAGCGCUGCACCUUCUGCAGCCCUGGGGCAGUGCUCGUGGGCAUGAAAUCCCUGCAGCGAGCACCGCUGGACCCGUGCUGGUGAGAGCCGCGCCUCUGUCAGCGCUGCAAGCGGAGCAGCAGCCAAGGUAUGAAGAGAGGGGCUGCUCCCACCCCGACAAGAGGCUCCAGAGCAGCACUGUCCGGCGGGCAAGGCUGGGGUGGGCACGCCAGGCUCCAGCCUGCCCGUGCCAUGCCGGGCUGCCCCUCUCCCUGCAGAGCCCUGCUGCAGCCGCGCUCCCGGGCUGAGCUGCCCUGGUGCGGGUGCCCGGGGAGGGCGCUGGCACCAGCCCCGAGCCGCAGGAAGGGAAUCUAGGUCACAGAUCCUCUCCGAGAACAAGCACAACUGAGGCUGCCAAGGGAAACAAACUGGCAGGAGAAAGGGGAACAAACUGGCUUGGGAAGCAACAGGAGAAUGGGGAGAAGUAACUCAGUGAUUGAAACAAGGACACUCUGGGAAAGCUUUGUAGGUGACUGCCAAUUGUCCAAAAGCAGAGUGGACAACUCCUUCCUUGCUGCUGACUGCAAUUGCAGGAAGAAAAGGUGUCUGUGGCUGGGUGCAAAUAUUCUCUGUACUUUCACAACAGUAGUAUAUGUGGGAAUCCUUGUCUGCUCCAGAAGUCUUAAAGAAGUAUUGGCACCUCUGCCACCCAAGGUAAAUAAUCCCAAGAAAGACACUUGUUUCUCUAGUAUGAUCCUGCUCAGUCUCCUCAAGGAUGUAGCACAAUGCUCGACCCUCAAGGCCAAAGCCAAGCAAUAAAGUGAACUUUAACCUUUGAAGAACAGGCAUGUGUGAAAAGAAAAAGCUGUGGAAACGUUUCUUGAAGACACUGGUGUCAUGCCUAAGGUGGUCCAUGCACUUUCACCCAAGAACUCCUGUUGGAAACCAGCAGCUCUAGCAAAGGAAUGUCUCUCUUUAAUGCCAGCAGCUUUGUGUGGUGACAGGUGAGGAAAAACCCAAUGUAAAACUCAAGACUUAUAUGAACAGCUCCUGUUAACAAAUUGUAUUAGCUGUUCAGCUAAAGGCAGAAAAAAUACUACAGGAGAGAAAAAACCACAAACAUCAGUAUUGUUAUUUUAAAGGAAAUCCAAAUGAUGAUAUUAGUUUUCCCAGCCUGAGAAAAAGCAAAAGCAAACAAACCCAAAGCAAUUUAUUUAGUGUGACAAAGAAGUAUGACAGGAAAAAGUACUUAGAUAAAUCAAUUGGAAUAAUAGCAACACCCAAAGACAUAAAAAGGGGUUUCUCAUUGUAUAGGAGACAAAAUGCUUCACGGACCACAGUGAAGGGAAAGUCAUCUAUUAAAAAAAACCUCAGAAAAUAUGAACAUUUUACAAGUUGUACCAAGCAGGAACAGGAAGAUACACAAUGAAAUGAAAUACCAUAAGACAGCUUCAUCAGCUAAACUUCAAAUGAAACUGGAAAUGUCAAAAUGAAUAAAGAUUAUCCACUUUA